This 441-nucleotide ribosomal RNA is filed under the name uncultured bacterium. RNAcentral's name for it is "partial 16S ribosomal RNA". It matches the Rfam family "Bacterial small subunit ribosomal RNA", at positions 338 to 795 of the family's 1533-position model. The record is from RNAcentral.
CCUACGGGAGGCAGCAGUGGGGGAUAUUGCACAAUGGGGGGAACCCUGAUGCAGCGACGCCGCGUGGGUGAAGGAGUGCUUCGGCAUGUAAAGCCCUAUCGGCAGGGAAGAAGCAAGACGGUACCUGACUAAGAAGCCCCGGCUAACUACGGGCCAGCAGCCGCGGUAAUACGUAGGGCGCGAGCGUUAUCCGGAUUCACUGGGUGUACAGGGAGCGUAGACGGUCAUGCAAGCCAGGUGUGAAAGCACGGGGCCCAACCCCGGGACUGCCCUUGGAACUGCAUGGCUGGAGUGCGGGAGGGGAAGGCGGAAUGCCUGGUGGAGCGGUGAAAGGCGUAGAUAUCUGGAGGAAGACCGGCGGCGAAGGCGGCCUGCUGGACUGCGACUGACGUUGAGACUCGAAAGCGUGGGGAGCGAACAGGAUUAGAUACCCCAGUAGUC